This is a long non-coding RNA of Ochotona princeps (American pika), 669 nucleotides long. RefSeq lists it as uncharacterized. NCBI's taxonomy places the organism in Eukaryota, Metazoa, Chordata, Mammalia, Lagomorpha, Ochotonidae. The transcript has 3 exons. The record is from RefSeq and is a predicted model, not a curated record.
GAGGGCAACUGAGGAGAGUUUCAUAAACACGGCAUAAAGGUCAAGUAAGAUGAGGAGUGAAACACAUCUUGUGGAGCUGGAAAGUAGGAGUUCAUUGGUGGCCUUUGCUGGUGUCACCUUAUUGGUGUGUUCUGGAAAGCAGCCAGCAUACAGUGGGCUGGAAUGGACAGGAAGAGAGUAAGGGGAGAUAAUUUCAAGAAACUUGGCAGAACCUACUGGAAUGCAGCAAACUGAAGACAAAUUUAUGCAUUACCAUCCUCUCAGUGGCAGAAGAAAAACAUGCCUCAUAAUAAGAAGUUGCCAAAAAUUUUUCAUACCAAAUAAUCAACAGUAAAUUAAAAUCAUUCACUGUUUGGGAUAUUCAAAGGCUUGAAGCUGUGACCCAGAAGGGCAACACUGACAUCUCUCUGUGCUGUGAAUCUCCAGUACUAGAAACCCAGGGUCAGGAGGAGACCAGGUCUAAUUGCUCCUGGCAGCCUUUCUGCACAAGUGCCACAUGCAGAGCAAACCCACCUGCGAAUAACCUGCUUUCCUCCUCCAGACCGCUACUGGAGUAAUAGCCAGAACAGUAUUUCACAGCCUGGUAGCUUCCCUUCUCUUACUCCUUUUCCCCUCUUAGGCUUACUCUCCUGGGCUUGCACUCUCCAUUAAACCAAAGUGUUAAUCUUC